This 468-nucleotide ribosomal RNA is filed under the name uncultured bacterium. RNAcentral describes it as "partial 16S ribosomal RNA". It matches the Rfam family "Bacterial small subunit ribosomal RNA", at positions 28 to 507 of the family's 1533-position model. The record is from RNAcentral.
GACGAACGCUGGCGGCGUGCUUAACACAUGCAAGUCGAACGGAAAGGCCCUGCUUUUGUGGGGUGCUCGAGUGGCGAACGGGUGAGUAACACGUGAGUAACCUGCCCUUGACUUUGGGAUAACUUCAGGAAACUGGGGCUAAUACCGGAUAGGAGCUCCUGCUGCAUGGUGGGGGUUGGAACGUUUCGGCGGUUGGGGAUGGACUCGCGGCUUAUCAGCUUGUUGGUGGGGUAGUGGCUUACCAAGGCUUUGACGGGUAGCCGGCCUGAGAGGGUGACCGGCCACAAUGGUACUGAGAGACGGCCCAGACUCCUACGGGAGGCAGCAGUGGGGAAUAUUGCACAAUGGGCGGAAGCCUGAUGCAGCAACGCCGCGUGCGGGAUGACGGCCUUCGGGGUGUAAACCGCUUUCGCCUGUGACGAAGCGGGAGUGACGGUAAUGGGUAAAGAAGCACCGGCUAACUACGUG